GAAAAAAGCUAUGACUGUAAUCAAUGUGGU
Molecule: non-coding RNA, 30 nt
Filed under: Mus musculus (house mouse)
Lineage: Eukaryota; Metazoa; Chordata; Mammalia; Rodentia; Muridae
Source: RNAcentral